This 271-nucleotide unclassified non-coding RNA is filed under the name Glomus sp. RNAcentral's name for it is "partial contains 5.8S ribosomal RNA and internal transcribed spacer 2". The stretch from base 1 to 65 matches the Rfam family "5.8S ribosomal RNA", at positions 84 to 154 of the family's 154-position model. Lineage: Eukaryota; Fungi; Glomeromycota; Glomeromycetes; Glomerales; Glomeraceae. The record is from RNAcentral.
GUGAAUCAUCGAAUUUUUGAACGCAAAUUGCACUCUCUGCGGAGAGUAUGCCUGUUUGAGGGUCAGCCUAAAAAAAAUCGACAUAGUCGCUGGUUCCCGGUGACAUUCGUCGGAAAUUGGGUCAUCUUAAACCUUUUGGUUUUAAGCGACUGAAAAUUUUCUUUGUGGUUCCAGGAACGUUUCUAAGAUUUAUUUCUUUGCACGUUUAAGGGUAUCGAUUUUUAUUAGACGUGACCAUCAUCUCUGAUCUCGUUCAGAAUCUUACAUUAAC